AUUGACAUUUUAUUACUGUUUGAUGUGUCUCUCAGAGGUGAUCCGAAGUGUGAAAUUGGAAGCCUGGAGCUUGCUUUUUGCACUUCCACGCUAGAGAAAGGCACAGUGAAGACAUUUGAGAGGCGUGGUGUUUUUCUCCCUCCGCCAAAAACAAGGAGAUUUUGCAAGGAAAGCUUUGACCCCUCUGGCAUCUGCCUCCUUGCAGGACAUGCCAGCUUAAUGUGUCCUUGGCUCUAGCUCCUGUUACAAGCUGAAGGGCCUUUCCUGAGAAGUCAGAGACCACUGCUGGAGACAGAGUGGGUUUGAUUCUGAAUCUGGGGACGAUGCAAGGACGGCAGGACCAAACCCAGAGAGAUCAUGGUAGCCGGCCCUUCGAUCGCCUGAAUCCGCAGAUGGAAUGAAUAGUGACCUCGUCUCUUAUUCCUGGGAGAAGGAUGGUGAGGACACAAUGGUCUGAGCUGAAGUUAGAGAAGUGGAAUUUCAUAUUCUUUCUCCCAACCUUUCAUGGUCUUGCCAGAUAAUUUUUUUUUUACUUCAUCCAUUGAGUCACAACAUAUCCAGAGUUAAACUGGGGGCUUCUCAUUUCCUGCGUGUCUUUGUCUCUCACGAUGUCCUCCCAUUUUGCAACUAUAUUUGUGGCAGAGAGAUAAAUAACU
Molecule: non-coding RNA, 656 nt
Organism: Sus scrofa (pig)
Lineage: Eukaryota; Metazoa; Chordata; Mammalia; Artiodactyla; Suidae
Source: RefSeq, a predicted model, not a curated record